RNAcentral lists this ribosomal RNA (325 nucleotides) under Salmonella enterica. RNAcentral describes it as "partial 23S ribosomal RNA". It matches the Rfam family "Bacterial large subunit ribosomal RNA", at positions 1568 to 1874 of the family's 2925-position model. RNAcentral also lists the same sequence under 3 other names. The record is from RNAcentral. Lineage: Bacteria; Pseudomonadati; Pseudomonadota; Gammaproteobacteria; Enterobacterales; Enterobacteriaceae.
GACGAGGCACUACGGUGCUGAAGCAACAAAUGCCCUGCUUCCAGGAAAAGCCUCUAAGCAUCAGGUAACACGAAAUCGUACCCCAAACCGACACAGGUGGUCAGGUAGAGAAUACCAAGGCGCUUGAGAGAACUCGGGUGAAGGAACUAGGCAAAAUGGUGCCGUAACUUCGGGAGAAGGCACGCUGACACGUAGGUGAAGUGAUUUACUCAUGGAGCUGAAGUCAGUCGAAGAUACCAGCUGGCUGCAACUGUUUAUUAAAAACACAGCACUGUGCAAACACGAAAGUGGACGUAUACGGUGUGACGCCUGCCCGGUGCCGGAA